UGGUUAUUGGUAUCUUUAGGCCAUCCUUUUUAGUCAUGUGCAUUGCGUGUGCCAUCUACCCAGCUCUGCAGAAGUCAACGUACCUCAUGUGCCAGUUCGCCUCACCACCUCGAGCGGGAGGCAUAACCACAAUGUGGUCGUCGCGCACACCUUAACAACACAACCCUUAGGCCCCCGUGCUAGCUGGGCUCUAGAAGUAUCACAAGCUCUCGCGAAUGCAGCAGACUUCGGGGACUUCGGCCCUCGGCCUAGACCUUGGUAGGUCAUUAAGCCACCCUCGUUGAGACAAUGGUCGAUCCUGCGGGCGGUCGGGCGCCUUAACAGCAUCGGCAUCACAAAGGACAUGCCUACCUGGUUG
RNAcentral lists this unclassified non-coding RNA (358 nucleotides) under Aechmea lamarchei. RNAcentral's name for it is "partial 26S-18S rRNA external transcribed spacer". The record is from RNAcentral. Lineage: Eukaryota; Viridiplantae; Streptophyta; Magnoliopsida; Poales; Bromeliaceae.